Molecule: ribosomal RNA, 118 nt
Filed under: Pteropus alecto (black flying fox)
Lineage: Eukaryota; Metazoa; Chordata; Mammalia; Chiroptera; Pteropodidae
Source: RNAcentral
AUUUACAGCCAUGCCACCCUUAACGUGUCCGAUCCCGUCUGAUCUCAGAAACUAAGCAAAGUCAGGCCUGGUUAGCAUUUGGAUGGGAGACCACCUACGAACAAAUAAAUAACAAAUA